GCAUCAAUGGGGUAGUGGUAACCUGGGUCGUUGCCAUAUGAAUACUGUGCAUUCACAGAUUCGACCCGCCGGGGGUUCGAUUCCCUCUUGAUGCA
Molecule: non-coding RNA, 95 nt
Organism: Pterulicium gracile
Lineage: Eukaryota; Fungi; Basidiomycota; Agaricomycetes; Agaricales; Pterulaceae
Source: the annotation of a GenBank genome assembly